AUCCUUUUCUGGUUCAUAAGCAUGAUGAUUGGGCUUUCACACUUUUGUGUGAUAUUUGCCUCCCUUAAAUCUUGUUACACAUUUGGCACAUUACCCUUCUGACA
Small nucleolar RNA from Sorex araneus (European shrew), 104 nucleotides. Lineage: Eukaryota; Metazoa; Chordata; Mammalia; Eulipotyphla; Soricidae. The record is from Ensembl.